RNAcentral lists this ribosomal RNA (253 nucleotides) under uncultured bacterium. RNAcentral describes it as "partial 16S ribosomal RNA". It matches the Rfam family "Bacterial small subunit ribosomal RNA", at positions 524 to 776 of the family's 1533-position model. The record is from RNAcentral.
GACGUAGGGCGCGAGCGUUGUCCGGAUUUAUUGGGCGUAAAGAGCUCGUAGGCGGCUUGUCGCGUCGAAUGUGAAAUCUCAGGGCUCAACUCUGACAUUGCAUUCGAUACGGGCAGGCUAGAGUUCGGUAGGGGAGACUGGAAUUCCUGGUGUAGCGGUGAAAUGCGCAGAUACCAGGAGGAACACCGGUGGCGAAGGCGGGUCUCUGGGCCGAUACUGACGCUGAGGAGCGAAAGCGUGGGGAGCGAACAGG